Pezoporus occidentalis (night parrot) is the source of this 2429-nucleotide long non-coding RNA. RefSeq lists it as uncharacterized. The transcript has 2 exons. Lineage: Eukaryota; Metazoa; Chordata; Aves; Psittaciformes; Psittacidae. The record is from RefSeq and is a predicted model, not a curated record.
CACUAGGUCUGAAUUUCUGAAGGAGGGUGCUCAGCCUGGACUCCAAACCUGUGUUCCUGGAGGUGACAAUGGAAAGUCCACCCGUGACCUGGAGCAUCACUGGCUUUCUGGCUUUCCAAAGCCCAGCAAAGUCCCAUGUGGAUCAUUUCAUGACACCUCCCAGUGCCUCCCCAGGGAAAAGAGCAAGCAAGCCCCCUCCUAACUACCUGUUGCAGGGAUUCAGGGAGGAAAUAGAAGGCAAUGCCUAUGCUGGGCACCGACCCAGCCACAGAGCCCAGAGCUGAGGUGGUGUGAGCAUCAUGAGGACCACACCCCAGCACUGUGAAAUGAGGGCUAAAGGCAGACCUGCCCCGUCUGAGCAAAUAACACAGGCUGUCGGGACAUUUAGUUGCAGCUUGGCUGUUUGCCCCUGUUACAAGGCUUGGCAAGGAGGGGAUUGCAUUUCUUGCAACAUCCCCACGCGAGGUAACGUGGGUUGCCAGUGGUGUUUGUCUACUGGGACACACAGCAAAUAACCUGGCUGUUUGUCCUGGCCUCCUGCCUGGUGGUUGGUACCAAGUGCUGCUGCUGUCCUGCAAGACAGACCCACACUUGCCACAGGAGGAGGCAUCUCUUCAGCUGCAGGAAGCCCACAGAUGCCAGGGUUUUUGGAAGAAGCAGAUGAGCGGGUGCCAUGGUGAUGGGGGAAGCUACCUGCUCGCUGCAUGUGCUGCUUUGCUUCAUCGGAGGCUGUGGCGCCGUCACAGUCAGCAAGUUAAACAUUGCAAGAAAUAUACUUUACUCCUUCCUUGAUCAGCUGCUGCUGAAUCACUCACCAUUUGUCCUGAUUACAAGGCCCUUAUCAGAGCUUUUUACUACUUUACCCCCCCAUUUCCCCCUUCCUGGUACACCGUGGUUCGUGUCCUGAUCCCCUAGAUAUUUCCAGGCUCUGUGUUUGCAGAGUGCCAGGGUUUCCAUCCUGGCUCUCUUAGCUGGGCUCAGCAUCCUCACUGCCUUCCCAAAGUGCAUGUCAGCUCUGGUGAAGAGCUCUGCCUCACUGAACCCGGGGGAUUUAGCUGCAGCACCCAGCAUGUUUCUGGCAGCUGCCUACCCACCCUGCAUGUUGGCAUCUCUGCUCCUGUAGUGCUCUUCUCCUUCUCACUCCUGGUUUGCAGAUCCAGAUUAUUAGUGCAAAACACCACUGAUCCCAAUGGCAUCACCUUGCCGACUGGGAGGCCAGCAGUUGAUCAGUAGCUGCCCACCGUGGAGCCAGCACCUUUGGCAUCGUGGCAGGCAGGGAGUGAGGCAGCAAGGGCUUGAGUGAAAUGCACCCUCCGGUGUGAAUCACAGCCCUCUGCACUCACUGAAUCAGCAUGGCCUCUUCAACACCCCAUCAGCUUGGACUGCAAAUCAAUCCCCACUGUUCUGGAACAGGAAUAGGGCAAACCAGGCAGAGUUGCCCAAGAAGCCAACCAUGGGUGUGGAUGGCAGAUUGCAGAAUAUACGUGUUUUGCCCAGUUAAGUCUCUCCUGAGACAUUUCUGCCCUCCGCAGCACCCUGGAUGCCCCAUCAGUGUGCUCUGCUAGCAAAAUAUGUUUGGUAUCGAGGUGAGAGUCCACCCUGAGAAGGACCUAAACACCAUGCAUGUGGACAUGCCUGGUGUCUCAUUUUUCUCCCCUUUGCAGGGCAAGAGGGAUGGGGUCCUCAGGAGCACAAUUUGUGGCUGUUCUCCUGAGGAUGGAGAGCCUUGUCUUGCUCAUAAGCCAUCCCAGCAGAGUAUGCUGGAAUUCCAGAUGUGGCCUUAACCCAGGCAAAAUCACACAGGUAGUUUCCAGCCACCCAUGGGGAUGGCAGAAGUCAGCUCUCUGUGUGCUGUGCUGGCUCCUAUCUUGAUGGAUCCAGCUUUUACUGCUGCUCCACCUUCCUAUCUCCUAGAGCUAGACAGCGGUUAAGAAACGGCAUUCAUGUGCAUAUACAUGUUGUAUACGGAGGGAUUCUCUAUUAAUCUUAAAGAUGCUUUGAUCAGAAAAGUAAUAACUUGCUGGCAUGAAUUAUUUUACAAAUUUUGCUUUUGCGGAGAGAAGCUCUUUGGCUUGAGAUUUUCCUUCCUAGCAGAAACAAGUUAUAUCUGAUGAACUAACCUUGCUGCUUUUGUUCUCAAAGCAGUAAUUUACUCUCCAAGCAGUGGCAUCACAACUUACCACCCCUGCAGCAUCAUUUAUUCAGCAGUGCAGUCAGCCAAGAGGAUAACACAGGGUGCAAGUGAUGUGGUUACUAUCUGUGCUGCACCAUCUGACAUGACUUUCCCCUUCUCAGUGUAUUUUCGGACACACAAACUAGCAGGGAAAUGUUUUUCUUCAUGUGAGGAAAUUCAAGUCACCACAAGAUCAAAUUUAUCCCACAGAGCAGCAGCUACAGCUCCCAGUCCAUUCAGUGGAAAAUAGCUGUAA